RNAcentral lists this ribosomal RNA (257 nucleotides) under uncultured bacterium. RNAcentral describes it as "partial 16S ribosomal RNA". It matches the Rfam family "Bacterial small subunit ribosomal RNA", at positions 524 to 776 of the family's 1533-position model. The record is from RNAcentral.
UACGUAGGGACCGAGCGUUGUCCGGAAUCAUUGGGCGUAAAGAGCGUGUAGGCGGCCACUUAAGUCCUGCGUGAAAUCUUGCGGCUCAACCGCAAGCGGUCGUGGGAAACUGGGUGGCUAGAGUGCGGGGAGAGGAGAGUGGAAUUCCUGGUGUAGCGGUGGAAUGCGCAGAUAUCAGGAAGAACACCCGUGGCGAAGGCGGCUCUCUGGAACGCAACUGACGCUGAGACGCGAAAAGCGUGGGGGAGCAAAACAGG